ACCCCCCUUCCCCGCACCCCACACUCCACACCCCCUUCUCUUUCUCUAAAAAGGUCGCUCGGCCUUCUGCUUUCUCCUUUGGCAUUAUUUAUGGAAGCAUUAAACUCAAGUACCUUAAGAUGGUGUGAAAAGAUAUUGUCAGAUACUUCAUCCAGCCCAUUAUAGCAAUGGCAAAGCCACCAAUUUGACGAGAGGUAUAGAAAA
Cajanus cajan (pigeon pea) is the source of this 204-nucleotide non-coding RNA. The record is from RefSeq and is a predicted model, not a curated record. Lineage: Eukaryota; Viridiplantae; Streptophyta; Magnoliopsida; Fabales; Fabaceae.